RNAcentral lists this ribosomal RNA (253 nucleotides) under uncultured bacterium. Its description in RNAcentral is "partial 16S ribosomal RNA". It matches the Rfam family "Bacterial small subunit ribosomal RNA", at positions 524 to 776 of the family's 1533-position model. The record is from RNAcentral.
UACAGAGGGGGCAAGCGUUAUUCGGAAUUAUUGGGCGUAAAGGGCGCGUAGGCGGCUUGGCAAGUGGAUGGUGAAAUCCCUCGGCUUAACCGAGGAACUGCCGUCCAAACUGCUUCGCUUGAGACCGGGAGAGGUGAGUGGAAUUCCCAGUGUAGCGGUGAAAUGCGUAGAUAUUGGGAGGAACACCAGUGGCGAAGGCGGCUCGCUGGGACGGUACUGACGCUGAGGCGCGAAAGCGUGGGGAGCGAACAGG